This 253-nucleotide ribosomal RNA is filed under the name uncultured bacterium. RNAcentral's name for it is "partial 16S ribosomal RNA". It matches the Rfam family "Bacterial small subunit ribosomal RNA", at positions 524 to 776 of the family's 1533-position model. The record is from RNAcentral.
UACGAAGGGGGCUAGCGUUGUUCGGAAUUACUGGGCGUAAAGGGCGCGUAGGCGGUCCUUCAAGUCAGGCGUGAAAGCCCCGGGCUCAACCUGGGAACCGCGCUUGAGACUGGGGAACUAGAGUUCGGGAGAGGAUGGUGGAAUUCCCAGUGUAGAGGUGAAAUUCGUAGAUAUUGGGAAGAACACCGAUGGCGAAGGCAGCCAUCUGGACCGACACUGACGCUGAGGCGCGAAAGCGUGGGGAGCAAACAGG